This 1560-nucleotide ribosomal RNA is filed under the name Elephantulus rupestris (western rock elephant shrew). Its description in RNAcentral is "16S ribosomal RNA". It matches the Rfam family "Bacterial large subunit ribosomal RNA". The record is from RNAcentral. Lineage: Eukaryota; Metazoa; Chordata; Mammalia; Macroscelidea; Macroscelididae.
ACCAGACCUAGCUCUAGCACAAACAAACUUAACAACACAUCAACAUGAAACAAAACAUUUAAUCAGUAAAGUAUAGGAGAUAGAAAUACCAUCCUAGAAGCUAUAGAAUAAGUACCGUAAGGGAAAGAUGAAAGAUACCUUAUAGUGAAGAACAGCAGAGACUAACCCUCAUACCUUUUGCAUAAUGAAUUAACCAGAAAUCCUUUGACAAAGUGAUCUUAAGCCAAAAACCCCGAAACCAGACGAGCUACUUAUGAACAAUUUGUCAGAAUGAACUCCUCUAUGUGGCAAAAUAGUGAGAUGAUUUAUAAGUAGAGGUGAAAAGCCAACCGAGCCUGGAGAUAGCUGGUUGUCCAAAAAACGAAUCUAAGUUCAACUUAAAGCCCUGCCUAAAAAGACUACCGAACUAAACUGCAGGCUUUAAUGUAAUUCAAUAGAGGUACAGCUCUAUUGAACUAGGAUACAACCUGGGAAGGAGAGUAAAUAUGAUAACUCACAUAGUUGGCCUAAAAGCAGCCAUCAAUUAAGAAAGCGUUAAAGCUCAACCUCUAAACCAUCAUUCAAUCCCAAGAACAAGUGAUAAACUCCCUCUUUCAUAUUGGACUACUCUAUUUUUAAAUAGAUGAAAUACUGUUAAUAUGAGUAACAAGAAUUCAUUCUCCGCGCGUAUGUUUAUAUCAGAACGGAUGCCCACUGAUAAUUAACGACCUAGUACUAACACUCCACACAUAAAUAAUCUACUUAACAAACUCGUUAGCCCGACACAGGAACGCAGCCCGGAAAGAUUAAAAGAAGAAGAAGGAACUCGGCAAACAUGAACUCCGCCUGUUUACCAAAAACAUCACCUCUAGCAUUACUAGUAUUAGAGGCACUGCCUGCCCAGUGACAUUAGUUAAACGGCCGCGGUACUCUGACCGUGCAAAGGUAGCAUAAUCAUUUGUUCUUUAAUUAAGGACUAGAAUGAACGGCAAGACGAGAUUUCAACUGUCUCCUUCCUCUAAUCAGUGAAAUUGACCUCCCCGUGAAGAGGCGGGGAUAAACCUAUAAGACGAGAAGACCCUAUGGAGCUUUAAUUUCUUUAUCUAUUAGCAACCUGUAUUUCCCGACAGGACCACAACUCAACUUUUUAGAUAAAAAAUUUCGGUUGGGGUGACCUCGGAGCAGAAAAAAACCUCCGAACAGUACACAUCUAUGAUAAACUGAUCUAAGCUUAAACUCUAUUGACCCAGUAAUCUGAUCAACGGAACAAGUUACCCUAGGGAUAACAGCGCAAUCCUACUUGAGAGUCCAUAUCGACAGUAGGGUUUACGACCUCGAUGUUGGAUCAGGACAUCCUAAUGGUGCAGCAGCUAUUAAAGGUUCGUUUGUUCAACGAUUAAAGUCCUACGUGAUCUGAGUUCAGACCGGAGUAAUCCAGGUCGGUUUCUAUCUAUAACCAACUUCUCCCAGUACGAAAGGAUAAGAGAAGUAGAGCCAACUCCUCAAGAGUGCCCUAACCUUUAUUAAUGAGUUCAUCUAAAUUAAGAUUGACCAACAUAUGCUAGUCCUAGACUAGGACAC